AGAACCUUACCUGGUCUUGACAUCCACAGAACUUUCCAGAGAUGGAUUGGUGCCUUCGGGAACUGUGAGACAGGUGCUGCAUGGCUGUCGUCAGCUCGUGUUGUGAAAUGUUGGGUUAAGUCCCGCAACGAGCGCAACCCUUAUCCUUUGUUGCCAGCGAUUAGGUCGGGAACUCAAAGGAGACUGCCAGUGAUAAACUGGAGGAAGGUGGGGAUGACGUCAAGUCAUCAUGGCCCUUACGACCAGGGCUACACACGUGCUACAAUGGCGCAUACAAAGAGAAGCGACCUCGCGAGAGCAAGCGGACCUCAUAAAGUGCGUCGUAGUCCGGAUUGGAGUCUGCAACUCGACUCCAUGAAGUCGGAAUCGCUAGUAAUCGUGGAUCAGAAUGCCACGGUGAAUACGUUCCCGGGCCUUGUACACACCGCCCGUCACACCAUGGGAGUGGGUUGCAAAAGAAGUAGGUAGCUUAACCUUCGGGAGGGCGCUUACCACUUUGUGAUUCAUGACUGGGGUGAAGUCGUAACAAGGUAACCGUAGGGGAACCUGCGGUUGGA
Molecule: ribosomal RNA, 557 nt
Filed under: Salmonella enterica
Lineage: Bacteria; Pseudomonadati; Pseudomonadota; Gammaproteobacteria; Enterobacterales; Enterobacteriaceae
Also listed under: 1 other name
Description: bacterial SSU rRNA
Rfam family: Bacterial small subunit ribosomal RNA
Source: RNAcentral